Molecule: ribosomal RNA, 1487 nt
Filed under: Oligolepis sp. NMBE 1066448
Lineage: Eukaryota; Metazoa; Chordata; Actinopteri; Gobiiformes; Gobiidae
Description: partial 16S ribosomal RNA
Rfam family: Bacterial large subunit ribosomal RNA
Source: RNAcentral
UUGAUCACUCUCAACAGCUAGCCUACCCCCAAAAUGCAACAACCAACAUUAAUAACCCCAAAAACACAACUCACUGUUUAAAACAAAUCAUUUUACCCCCUAAGUAUGGGAGACAGAAAAGGGACAAACAGAGCUAUAGAGAAAGUACCGCAAGGGAAAGCUGAAAGAGAAAUGAAAAAACCCAGUAAAGAGUAAAAAAGUAGAUAUAACAAAUCGUACCUUUUGCAUCAUGAGCCAGCCAGAAAACUUCGAGCAAAAAGAAUUUUAGUUCGAAACCCCGAAACUUGGUGAGCUACUCCAAGACAGCCUAUAAUAGGGCCAACCCGUCUCUGUUGCAAAAGAGUGGGAAGAGCUUUGAGUAGAGGUGACAGACCUACCGAACCGAGUUAUAGCUGGUUGCCUAUAAAAUGAAUAGAAGUUCAGCCUCUAUAAUUCUUUAUCUCAACAAGGCAACGCCACAUAAAAAUGACAAGAAUUCAAGAGAGUUAUUCAAAGGGGGGACAGCCCCUAUGAAAAAAGACACAACUUUGAUAGAAGGUUGAAGACCAAAAGACACUAAAGCAACACACCUUGGUGGGCCUAAAAGCAGCCACCCAUGAAGAAAGCGUUAAAGCUCAAGUAUACCUGCUCCUUAUAAUCAAGACAGCCCAAUCUAAAACCCCUAACCACCUAAUAGGCCCUUCCAUGCCUACAUGGAAAAGAUACUGCUAGUAUGAGUAAUAAGAGGGACAAGCCCCUCUCCUGGCAUCUGUGUACAUCAGAACGAACCCGCACUGAAAAUUAACGUCCCCCAACAAAGAGGGCCCUGAGGCACAUCAAACUAAACAAGCAAACCCCUCAAGUAAAAACGUUACCCCCACACAGGUGUGCCAAAGGAAAGACUAAAAGAAAAAGAAGGAACUCGGCAAACACUGGCCUCGCCUGUUUACCAAAAACAUCGCCUCUUGCACCACAAAGUAUAAGAGGUCCCGCCUGCCCUGUGACUUGUUAGUUUAACGGCCGCGGUAUUUUGACCGUGCGAAGGUAGCGUAAUCACUUGUCUUUUAAAUGGAGACCUGUAUGAAUGGCAUAACGAGGGCUAAGCUGUCUCCUUUUUCCAGUCAAUGAAAUUAAUCUUCCCGUGCAGAAGCGGGAAUAAGCCCAUAAGACGAGAAGACCCUAUGGAGCUUUAGACAAAAGGUAGCCCGCAUUGCAAACCACUCAAUCAAGAGUGCUAACCAAGCAGCCCUGCCCCUUUGUCUUUGGUUGGGGCGACCAUGGAGAAACAAAAAUCCUCCAAGUGGAACGGGGGGACACCCCUCAAAGCUAGAGCAACAGCUCCCACAAACAGAACAUCUGACCGACAAGACCCGGCAAAGCCGAUCAACGAACCAAGUUACCCUAGGGAUAACAGCGCAAUCCCCUUUUAGAGCCCAUAUCGACAAGGGGGUUUACGACCUCGAUGUUGGAUCAGGACAUCCUAAUGGUGCAGCCGCUAUUAAGGGUUC